Molecule: ribosomal RNA, 433 nt
Filed under: uncultured bacterium
Lineage: Bacteria
Description: partial 16S ribosomal RNA
Rfam family: Bacterial small subunit ribosomal RNA
Source: RNAcentral
AACGAACGCUGGCGGCAUGCCUAACACAUGCAAGUCGAACGAGACCUUCGGGUCUAGUGGCGCACGGGUGCGUAACGCGUGGGAACCUGCCCUUAGGUUCGGAAUAACUCCCCGAAAGGGGUGCUAAUACCGGAUAAUGUUUUCGGACCAAAGAUUUAUCGCCUUUGGAUGGGCCCGCGUUGGAUUAGCUAGUUGGUAGGGUAAAAGCCUACCAAGGCGACGAUCCAUAGCUGGUCUGAGAGGAUGAUCAGCCACACUGGGACUGAGACACGGCCCAGACUCCUACGGGAGGCAGCAGUGGGGAAUAUUGGAAAAUGGGCGAAAGCCUGAUCCAGCAAUGCCGCGUGAGUGAUGAAGGCCUUAGGGUUGUAAAGCUCUUUUACCCGGGAUGAUAAUGACAGUACCGGGAGAAUAAGCUCCGGCUAACUCCGUG